GGUUGUAUAGUGUAGUGGUCAUCACAUCGGAUUCUGAUGCUUCAGUGCGUUCCGGGGACCCCUGUUCGAUCCAGGGUACGACCU
RNAcentral lists this transfer RNA (84 nucleotides) under Cercospora zeae-maydis SCOH1-5. It matches the Rfam family "tRNA". From Rfam's summary of the family: Transfer RNA (tRNA) molecules are approximately 80 nucleotides in length. Their secondary structure includes four short double-helical elements and three loops (D, anti-codon, and T loops). Further hydrogen bonds mediate the characteristic L-shaped molecular structure. tRNAs have two regions of fundamental functional importance: the anti-codon, which is responsible for specific mRNA codon recognition, and the 3' end, to which the tRNAs corresponding amino acid is attached (by aminoacyl-tRNA synthetases). tRNAs cope with the degeneracy of the genetic code in two manners: having more than one tRNA (with a specific anti-codon) for a particular amino acid; and 'wobble' base-pairing, i.e. permitting non-standard base-pairing at the 3rd anti-codon position. The record is from Rfam by way of RNAcentral. Lineage: Eukaryota; Fungi; Ascomycota; Dothideomycetes; Mycosphaerellales; Mycosphaerellaceae.